This 425-nucleotide ribosomal RNA is filed under the name uncultured bacterium. RNAcentral's name for it is "bacterial SSU rRNA". It matches the Rfam family "Bacterial small subunit ribosomal RNA", at positions 356 to 773 of the family's 1533-position model. The record is from RNAcentral.
GGGGAAUAUUGCGCAAUGGGCGAAAGCCUGACGCAGCCAUACCGCGUGUGUGAAGAAGGCCUUCGGGUUGUAAAGCACUUUCAGUGGGGAGGAAAAGCUGGUGGCUAAUAUCCAUCGGCCGUGACGCUACCCACAGAAGAAGCACCGGCUAAUUCCGUGCCAGCAGCCGCGGUAAUACGGAAGGUGCGAGCGUUAAUCGGAAUUACUGGGCGUAAAGCGCACGUAGGUGGCUUGGUAAGUCGGAUGUGAAAGCCCCGGGCUCAACCUGGGAACGGCAUUCGAUACUGCUGAGCUAGAGUACGAAAGAGGGGGGUGGAAUUCCAGGUGUAGCGGUGAAAUGCGUAGAGAUCUGGAGGAACACCGGUGGCGAAGGCGGCCCCCUGGUUCGAUACUGACGCUGAGGUGCGAAAGCGUGGGGAGCAAAC